AAAACUCUGAGGAGAGAAGGCGUUUU
This 26-nucleotide non-coding RNA is filed under the name Cricetulus griseus (Chinese hamster). The record is from RNAcentral. Lineage: Eukaryota; Metazoa; Chordata; Mammalia; Rodentia; Cricetidae.